RNAcentral lists this long non-coding RNA (1892 nucleotides) under Apteryx haastii (Great spotted kiwi). RNAcentral's name for it is "lncRNA (ENSAHAG00000013306.1)". The record is from RNAcentral. Lineage: Eukaryota; Metazoa; Chordata; Aves; Apterygiformes; Apterygidae.
AGGAGCUUGAUGUCCUGGUGCAGGCAGGGCUGGCAGCAUUGGUGGCAGGCAGGGUGUGGGGCAGGUGGGACAUGGGGCAGGCAGGGCUGGCAGCAUUGGUGGCAGGCAGGGUGUGGGGCAGGUGGGACAUGGCGCAGGCAGGGCUGGCAGCGUUGGCAGUGCCAGGCAGGGGGUGGGCUUUGGGGCUGACACCCCACUGGGCACCCGUGGGUGGGUGUUGGGGCAGACUCCCAGCUGAGCACCCACGGGUGACACGCAGGGUGCCCUGGGCAAGCGUCGGGGCAGACACCGAACUGGGCACCCAUGGGUGCACCUCUGGGUGUCUUGGGCAGUCAUUGGGGCGGACUCCCAGCUGAGCACCCACGUGUGACAUGCAGGGUGCCCUGGGCAAGCGUCAGGGCAGACCCCCCGCCAAGCACCCACAGGUGGGCAUGGGGGCAGACCCCCAGCUGGGCACCCAUGGGUGCACCUCUGGGUGUCUUGGGUGGUCAUUGGGACAGACACCCAGCCCAGCACCCACGGGUGACACGCAGGGUGGCCUGGGCAAGCGUCGGGGCAGACCCUCAGCCGGGCGCCCAUGGGUGCACCUCUGGGUGUCUUAGGCAGUCAUUGGGGCAGACCCCCAGCCAAGAACCUAUGGGUGCACCUCUGGGUGUCUUAGGCAGUCGUUGGGGCAGACGCCCAGCCAAGAACCCAUGGGUGCACCUCUGGGUGUCUUGGACAGUCAUUGGGGCAGAUGCCCAGCCUGGCACCCACGGGUGACACGCAGGGUGCCCCGGGCAAGCGUCGGGGCAGACCCCCAGCUGGACACCCACGGGUGGGCGUUGAGGCAGACCCCCAACUGGGCUUGCCCUUGGGCAAGCAUCGGGGCAGACCCCCCCCACCCACACACCCCGAGCCGGAUGCCCCCGGCUGAGCACCCAUGGGUGCCCGCAGCCAUCUACCUGCUGUACGCCAAGCUGGAGGAGGACUUUGGGCUGGCGCGCCACGCCAUGGCCGUGUACGAGCGGGCCACGCGGGCCGUGCUGCCUGCCGAGCAGUACGACAUGUUCAACAUCUACAUCAAGCGGGCGGCCGAGAUCUACGGCGUCACCCACACCCGGCCCAUCUACGAGAAGGCCAUCGAGGUGCUGGCCGACGAGCACGCCCGGGAGAUGUGCCUGCGCUUCGCCGACAUGGAGUGCAAGCUGGGCGAGAUCGACCGGGCCCGCGCCAUCUACGGCUACUGCUCGCAGAUCUGCGACCCUCGCGUGAGUCCCCGGCGGCGGGUGCCACGUCCCGGGCGGGCAGCGGGUGUCACCGGGCCCCGCCACGCCGACGGGGACGUGGGGCACGGCGGAGGCUGGGCGGUGCGGGUGCCUCGGGCCACCCCGGUGUGCCCACGGGGGUGACCGGUGGCAGCGGUGUGGCCAGCGCUGUAUCGGUACCGGUGCUAGGGGUGGCCCUGGUGCCACGUGGGUGCUCGGUGACUGGUGGGGUGCCUGGGGUCAGGGGUGGCCCCGGUGCCACGUGGGUGCCCAGUGCUCAGGGAUGUCUCCAAUGUCACGUGGCUGCCCAGGCAUGUCCCCAAUGUCACUUGGGUGCCCAGGGCCCAGCAGGGUGCCCAGUGCCAGGGAUGUCCCCAAUGCCACAUGGGUGCCUGGUGCCCAGCAGAUGCCCAGUGCUCAGGGUUGUCCCCAAUGCCAUGUGGGUGCCUGGUGUCAGCGAUGUCGCCAGUGUCACAUGGGUGCCCAGUGUCACAUGGAUGCCCAGUGCCCAGCAGGGUGCMUGGUGCCAAGGAUGUCCCCAAUGUCACAUGGGUGCCCASUGCCCAGGGAUGUCCCCAGUGUCAUGUGGGUGCCUAGUGCCCAGGGUUGUCCCCAGUGCCAUGUGGGUGUCCAGUGUCAGGGAUG